UUCUGCCUGUAGAAGCUCCAUUUUCCUUCCUAUCUCCUCUGGCACAAGGCAUGGUGUGUGGCCAGUAUUGAUUCCUGCUUUCUACUCUUCAAUUUUUGUAGAAAUAGGGAGAGUCGCUCCUUCUACAUGCAUAUGGUUCCUGGAAGGUGAAAUUUUAAUGUAAACCUUUGUGAGAUAUUCACUUCUGAAUGACAAAGGGUCUAUUGACUUUCAUGGAUGUGGCUAUAGAGUUCUCUAAGGAGGAAUGGGAAUGUCUGGAUUCUGCCCAGAGAGCUUUGUACAGAGAUGUCAUGUUGGAGAAUUACAAAAACCUGGUUUUUGUGGGUGUUGCUGUUUCAAAGUCAGAGGUAAUCUUCUGUCUAGAACAAAACAAAGAAACAUGGAUUGUUGAUAGAGAAGAUAUGGAAGGAAAAAAAAACAGGUCUGUCAUGUGAUUGUACCAAGAAGCUACUCCUCAAAGGACAUACACAGAAUUGCAUCCACAACAAAAUAACACGAAGAUUUGUAUGCAGUACACUUUCAGAUCUAUAUCAAAACAAGUUCUGGGAAUAUAGAUGUGAUAGUACAGAGUAUGAACUAUAUGAUUAUGGAAGGGGUCAAUUGGAAAAGCACAUCUUUUUCAUUUCUGAAAAUUAUCAAAAAGCCCUAACUUCCCCUGAAAGAAGUCAGCCUUGUUUACACUCAUUCUCACAACUGGAGGA
Molecule: long non-coding RNA, 701 nt
Filed under: Mus musculus (house mouse)
Lineage: Eukaryota; Metazoa; Chordata; Mammalia; Rodentia; Muridae
Description: predicted gene, 57774
Source: RNAcentral